GACAGAGGGUGCGAACGUUGUUCGGAAUUACUGGGCGUAAAGCGCGUGUAGGCUGUUCGGAAAGUCGGAUGUGAAAGCCCUGGGCUCAACCUAGGAAGUGCAUUCGAAACUCCCGAACUGGAGUCCCGGAGAGGAAGGCGGAAUUCUCGGUGUAGAGGUGAAAUUCGUAGAUAUCGAGAGGAGCAUCGGUGGCGAAGGCGGCCUUCGUGGACGGUGACUGACGCUGAGACGCGAAAGCGUGGGGAG
This 246-nucleotide ribosomal RNA is filed under the name uncultured bacterium. Its description in RNAcentral is "partial 16S ribosomal RNA". It matches the Rfam family "Bacterial small subunit ribosomal RNA", at positions 524 to 768 of the family's 1533-position model. The record is from RNAcentral.